GAUGAACGCUGGCGGCGUGCCUAAUACAUGCAAGUCGAGCGAACAGACGAGGAGCUUGCUCCUCUGACGUUAGCGGCGGACGGGUGAGUAACACGUGGAUAACCUACCUAUAAGACUGGGAUAACUUCGGGAAACCGGAGCUAAUACCGGAUAAUAUAUUGAACCGCAUGGUUCAAUAGUGAAAGACGGUUUUGCUGUCACUUAUAGAUGGAUCCGCGCCGCAUUAGCUAGUUGGUAAGGUAACGGCUUACCAAGGCAACGAUGCGUAGCCGACCUGAGAGGGUGAUCGGCCACACUGGAACUGAGACACGGUCCAGACUCCUACGGGAGGCAGCAGUAGGGAAUCUUCCGCAAUGGGCGAAAGCCUGACGGAGCAACGCCGCGUGAGUGAUGAAGGUCUUCGGAUCGUAAAACUCUGUUAUUAGGGAAGAACAAAUGUGUAAGUAGCUAUGCACGUCUUGACGGUACCUAAUCAGAAAGCCACGGCUAAUUACGUG
RNAcentral lists this ribosomal RNA (497 nucleotides) under uncultured bacterium. RNAcentral describes it as "partial 16S ribosomal RNA". It matches the Rfam family "Bacterial small subunit ribosomal RNA", at positions 28 to 507 of the family's 1533-position model. The record is from RNAcentral.